Molecule: ribosomal RNA, 750 nt
Filed under: uncultured Stenotrophomonas sp.
Lineage: Bacteria; Pseudomonadati; Pseudomonadota; Gammaproteobacteria; Lysobacterales; Lysobacteraceae
Description: bacterial SSU rRNA
Rfam family: Bacterial small subunit ribosomal RNA
Source: RNAcentral
CUGGCGGUAGGCCUAACACAUGCAAGUCGAACGGCAGCACAGAGGAGCUUGCUCCUUGGGUGGCGAGUGGCGGACGGGUGAGGAAUACAUCGGAAUCUACUCUGUCGUGGGGGAUAACGUAGGGAAACUUACGCUAAUACCGCAUACGACCUACGGGUGAAAGCAGGGGAUCUUCGGACCUUGCGCGAUUGAAUGAGCCGAUGUCGGAUUAGCUAGUUGGUGGGGUAAAGGCCCACCAAGGCGACGAUCCGUAGCUGGUCUGAGAGGAUGAUCAGCCACACUGGGACUGAGACACGGCCCAGACUCCUACGGGAGGCAGCAGUGGGGAAUAUUGGACAAUGGGCGAAAGCCUGAUCCAGCCAUACCGCGUGGGUGAAGAAGGCCUUCGGGUUGUAAAGCCCUUUUGUUGGGAAAGAAAUCCAGCCGGCUAAUACCUGGUUGGGAUGACGGUACCCAAAGAAUAAGCACCGGCUAACUUCGUGCCAGCAGCCGCGGUAAUACGAAGGGUGCAAGCGUUACUCGGAAUUACUGGGCGUAAAGCGUGCGUAGGUGGUUAUUUAAGUCCGUUGUGAAAGCCCUGGGCUCAACCUGGGAACUGCAGUGGAUACUGGAUGACUAGAAUGUGGUAGAGGGUAGCGGAAUUCCUGGUGUAGCAGUGAAAUGCGUAGAGAUCAGGAGGAACAUCCAUGGCGAAGGCAGCUACCUGGACCAACAUUGACACUGAGGCACGAAAGCGUGGGGAGCAAACAG